RNAcentral lists this ribosomal RNA (1420 nucleotides) under bacterium. RNAcentral's name for it is "bacterial SSU rRNA". It matches the Rfam family "Bacterial small subunit ribosomal RNA". The record is from RNAcentral.
AAGUCGAGCGAACAGAUGAGAAGCUUGCUUCUCUGAUGUUAGCGGCGGACGGGUGAGUAACACGUGGGUAACCUACCUAUAAGACUGGGAUAACUCCGGGAAACCGGGGCUAAUACCGGAUAAUAUUUUGAACCGCAUGGUUCAAUAGUGAAAGACGGUUUCGGCUGUCACUUAUAGAUGGACCCGCGCCGUAUUAGCUAGUUGGUAAGGUAACGGCUUACCAAGGCGACGAUACGUAGCCGACCUGAGAGGGUGAUCGGCCACACUGGAACUGAGACACGGUCCAGACUCCUACGGGAGGCAGCAGUAGGGAAUCUUCCGCAAUGGGCGAAAGCCUGACGGAGCAACGCCGCGUGAGUGAUGAAGGUCUUCGGAUCGUAAAACUCUGUUGUUAGGGAAGAACAAAUUUGUUAGUAACUGAACAAGUCUUGACGGUACCUAACCAGAAAGCCACGGCUAACUACGUGCCAGCAGCCGCGGUAAUACGUAGGUGGCAAGCGUUAUCCGGAAUUAUUGGGCGUAAAGCGCGCGUAGGCGGUUUCUUAAGUCUGAUGUGAAAGCCCACGGCUCAACCGUGGAGGGUCAUUGGAAACUGGGAAACUUGAGUGCAGAAGAGGAGAGUGGAAUUCCAUGUGUAGCGGUGAAAUGCGCAGAGAUAUGGAGGAACACCAGUGGCGAAGGCGGCUCUCUGGUCUGUAACUGACGCUGAUGUGCGAAAGCGUGGGGAUCAAACAGGAUUAGAUACCCUGGUAGUCCACGCCGUAAACGAUGAGUGCUAAGUGUUAGGGGGUUUCCGCCCCUUAGUGCUGCAGCUAACGCAUUAAGCACUCCGCCUGGGGAGUACGACCGCAAGGUUGAAACUCAAAGGAAUUGACGGGGACCCGCACAAGCGGUGGAGCAUGUGGUUUAAUUCGAAGCAACGCGAAGAACCUUACCAAAUCUUGACAUCCUUUGANCGCUCUAGAGAUAGAGUCUUCCCCUUCGGGGGACAAAGUGACAGGUGGUGCAUGGUUGUCGUCAGCUCGUGUCGUGAGAUGUUGGGUUAAGUCCCGCAACGAGCGCAACCCUUAAGCUUAGUUGCCAUCAUUAAGUUGGGCACUCUAGGUUGACUGCCGGUGACAAACCGGAGGAAGGUGGGGAUGACGUCAAAUCAUCAUGCCCCUUAUGAUUUGGGCUACACACGUGCUACAAUGGAUAAUACAAAGGGCAGCGAAUCCGCGAGGCCAAGCAAAUCCCAUAAAAUUAUUCUCAGUUCGGAUUGUAGUCUGCAACUCGACUACAUGAAGCUGGAAUCGCUAGUAAUCGUAGAUCAGCAUGCUACGGUGAAUACGUUCCCGGGUCUUGUACACACCGCCCGUCACACCACGAGAGUUUGUAACACCCGAAGCCGGUGGAGUAACCUUUUAGGAGCUAGCCGUCG